Non-coding RNA from Pelobates cultripes (western spadefoot toad), 85 nucleotides. The record is from the annotation of a GenBank genome assembly. NCBI's taxonomy places the organism in Eukaryota, Metazoa, Chordata, Amphibia, Anura, Pelobatidae.
UGGCACUCCAGAUGUUUUGGACUACACCUCCCAUGAUGCUUUGCCAGCAUUAUGGGGGAUGUAGUCCACAACAUCUGGAGUGGCG